GGAGGAUCCAAGCGUUAUCCGGAAUCAUUGGGUUUAAAGGGUCCGUAGGCGGUUUGGUAAGUCAGUGGUGAAAGCCCAUCGCUCAACGGUGGAACGGCCAUUGAUACUGCCAUACUUGAAUUAUUAGGAAGUAACUAGAAUAUGUAGUGUAGCGGUGAAAUGCUUAGAGAUUACAUGGAAUACCAAUUGCGAAGGCAGGUUACUACUAAUGGAUUGACGCUGAUGGACGAAAGCGUGGGUAGCGAACAGGAUUAGAUACCCUGGUAGUCCACGCCGUAAACGAUGGAUACUAGCUGUUGGGAGCGAUCUCAGUGGCUAAGCGAAAGUGAUAAGUAUCCCACCUGGGGAGUACGUUCGCAAGAAUG
This 365-nucleotide ribosomal RNA is filed under the name uncultured bacterium. RNAcentral describes it as "bacterial SSU rRNA". It matches the Rfam family "Bacterial small subunit ribosomal RNA", at positions 527 to 896 of the family's 1533-position model. The record is from RNAcentral.